UUACGGGAGGCAGCAGUGGGGAAUAUUGCACAAUGGGCGAAAGCCUGAUGCAGCGACGCCGCAGUGAGGGAUGACGGCCUUCGGGUUGUAAACCUCUUUCAGUAGGGAAGAAGCGAAAGUGACGGUACCUGCAGAAGAAGCGCCGGCUAACUACGUGCCAGCAGCCGCGGUAAUACGUAGGGCGCAAGCGUUAUCCGGAAUUAUUGGGCGUAAAGAGCUCGUAGGCGGUUGUCGCGUCUGCCGUGAAAGUCCGGGGCUCAACUCCGGAUCUGCGGUGGGUACGGGCAGACUAGAGUGAUGUAGGGGAGACUGGAAUUCCUGGUGUAGCGGUGAAUGCGCAGAUAUCAGGAGGAACACCGAUGGCGAAGGCAGGUCUCUGGGCAUUACUGACGCUGAGGAGCGAAAGCAUGGGGAGCGAACAGGAUAGAUACCUGGUAGCCAUGCCGUAACGUUGGGCACUAGGUGUGGGGACAUUCCACGUUUCCGCGCCGUACUAACGCAUAAGUGCCCGCCUGGGAGACGGCCCAAGCUAAACUCAAGGAAUGACGGGGCCGCACAGCGGCGGACAUGGGAUAAUUCAUGCACGCGAAGAACUUACCAGGUUGAAUGAACGGAACACUGGAACAGGGCCCGCUGCGGCGGUUACAGUGUGAUGUUGUCUCACUCGGUCGUGAAUGUGGGUAAGUCCCCACGAGCCACCUCGUCAUGUGCAGCCGUAUGCGGGAUCAUAGAAAUGCCGGGCAAUCGAGGAGGGGGCCACGCAAUCUCUGCCCUAUGCUGGGUCAGCUGCAAAUGGCGGACAAGGUGGAACUGGAGGGGGUAUCCAAAGCCGUCCAUCGAUGGGCUGACCACCCUGAGCGAUCCUGAACGAAACAACUCGGAAAUUCCGGCUGAACCCCCUAAUCAAAUGGAACCAACGGGCACCCUGGGGGGUCAGGGGGUGAAAUAUAAAAAAACGAAAAAAAAAACCAACCCGGGGGGGGGGGGGGGGGGGGAGGGAAAACGACGUCCAAAAAAACCCC
This 1022-nucleotide ribosomal RNA is filed under the name Pseudarthrobacter scleromae. Its description in RNAcentral is "bacterial SSU rRNA". The stretch from base 1 to 513 matches the Rfam family "Bacterial small subunit ribosomal RNA", at positions 339 to 873 of the family's 1533-position model. Lineage: Bacteria; Bacillati; Actinomycetota; Actinomycetes; Micrococcales; Micrococcaceae. The record is from RNAcentral.